Molecule: ribosomal RNA, 465 nt
Filed under: Vreelandella stevensii
Lineage: Bacteria; Pseudomonadati; Pseudomonadota; Gammaproteobacteria; Oceanospirillales; Halomonadaceae
Description: partial 16S ribosomal RNA
Rfam family: Bacterial small subunit ribosomal RNA
Source: RNAcentral
CCUACGGGGGGCUGCAGUGGGGAAUAUUGGACAAUGGGGGGAACCCUGAUCCAGCCAUGCCGCGUGUGUGAAGAAGGCCCUCGGGUUGUAAAGCACUUUCAGUGAGGAAGAACGCCUGGUGGUUAAUACCCAUCAGGAAAGACAUCACUCACAGAAGAAGCACCGGCUAACUCCGUGCCAGCAGCCGCGGUAAUACGGAGGGUGCGAGCGUUAAUCGGAAUUACUGGGCGUAAAGCGCGCGUAGGUGGCUUGAUAAGCCGGUUGUGAAAGCCCCGGGCUCAACCUGGGAACGGCAUCCGGAACUGUCAAGCUAGAGUGCAGGAGAGGAAGGUAGAAUUCCCGGUGUAGCGGUGAAAUGCGUAGAGAGCGGGAGGAAUACCAGUGGCGAAGGCGGCCUUCUGGACUGACACUGACACUGAGGUGCGAAAGCGUGGGUAGCAAACAGGAUUAGAUACCCGAGUAGUC